This is a small nuclear RNA of Artibeus jamaicensis (Jamaican fruit-eating bat), 164 nucleotides long. RefSeq annotates it as U1 spliceosomal RNA. Lineage: Eukaryota; Metazoa; Chordata; Mammalia; Chiroptera; Phyllostomidae. The transcript has a single exon. The record is from RefSeq and is a predicted model, not a curated record.
AUACUUACCUGGCAGGGGAGACACCAUGAUCACCACGGUGGUUUUCCCAGCGCCAGGCCCACCCACUGCCGUGCGGGUGUGCAGGCCCCUGAGACUUCCCUCCGUGUGGGAGACUCCACUGCACAAUCUGUGGUAGUGGGGGACUGCAUGCACGCUCUCCCCUG